RNAcentral lists this ribosomal RNA (478 nucleotides) under uncultured bacterium. RNAcentral describes it as "partial 16S ribosomal RNA". It matches the Rfam family "Bacterial small subunit ribosomal RNA", at positions 28 to 523 of the family's 1533-position model. The record is from RNAcentral.
GACGAACGCUGGCGGCGUGCUUAACACAUACAAGUCGAACGGUAGGGCCCUUCGGGGUACACGAGUGGCGAACGGGUGAGUAACACGUGGGUGAUCUGCCCUGCACUUCGGGAUAAGCCUGGGAAACUGGGUCUAAUACCGGAUAGGACCACUGCCUGCAUGGGUGGGGGUGGAAAGCUUUUGCGGUGUGGGAUGGGCCCGCGGCCUAUCAGCUUGUUGGUGGGGUGAUGGCCUACCAAGGCGACGACGGGUAGCCGGCCUGAGAGGGUGACCGGCCACACUGGGACUGAGAUACGGCCCAGACUCCUACGGGAGGCAGCAGUGGGGAAUAUUGCACAAUGGGCGCAAGCCUGAUGCAGCGACGCCGCGUGAGGGAUGACGGCCUUCGGGUUGUAAACCUCUUUCAGCACCGACGAAGCGCAAGUGACGGUAGGUGCAGAAGAAGGACCGGCCAACUACGUGCCAGCCGCCGCGGUAA